CCGCAUACGUCCUACGGGAGAAAGCAGGGGACCUUCGGGCCUUGCGCUAUCAGAUGAGCCUAGGUCGGAUUAGCUAGUUGGUGGGGUAAUGGCUCACCAAGGCGGACGGGGGCGUAACUGGUCUGAGAGGAUGAUCAGUCACACUGGAACUGAGACACGGUCCAGACUCCUACGGGAGGCAGCAGUGGGGAAUAUUGGACAAUGGGCGAAAGCCUGAUCCAGCCAUGCCGCGUGUGUGAAGAAGGUCUUCGGAUUGUAAAGCACUUUAAGUUGGGAGGAAGGGCAGUAAGCUAAUACCUUGCUGUUUUUUUGUUACCGACGGAGUAAGCACCGGCUAACUGUG
Molecule: ribosomal RNA, 343 nt
Filed under: Pseudomonas sp. NTAAB1
Lineage: Bacteria; Pseudomonadati; Pseudomonadota; Gammaproteobacteria; Pseudomonadales; Pseudomonadaceae
Description: bacterial SSU rRNA
Rfam family: Bacterial small subunit ribosomal RNA
Source: RNAcentral